Molecule: unclassified non-coding RNA, 189 nt
Filed under: Glomeromycotina sp.
Lineage: Eukaryota; Fungi; Glomeromycota
Description: partial contains small subunit ribosomal RNA, internal transcribed spacer 1, and 5.8S ribosomal RNA
Rfam family: Eukaryotic small subunit ribosomal RNA (bases 1-47)
Source: RNAcentral
AAAGUCGUAACAAGGUUUCCGUAGGUGAACCUGCGGAAGGAUCAUUACUGAUUUUGCAAACCGAGCGUUAGCAAGGUUUUGCGAUCAACUUUAUAUAUUUAAAACCCACUCUUUAUAUUGUAUAUUUUUUUUUUAUUUUGAAUGAUAAAAAAUUAAUCAUCACUUUCAACAACGGAUCUCUUGGCUCUC